AACGUAGGAGACAAACGUUAUCCGGAGUUACUGGGCGUAAAGGGCGUGUAGGCGGUAUGUUAAGUCUGGCGUGAAAGCUCUCGGCUAAACCGGGAGAGGUCGUUGGAUACUGGCAAACUAGAGGAUGGUAGAGGCGUGUGGAAUUCCGGGUGUAGUGGUGAAAUGCGUAGAGAUCCGGAGGAACACCAGUGGCGAAGGCGACACGCUGGGCCAUACCUGACGCUAAGGCGCGACAGCAUGGGGAGCAAACGGG
Molecule: ribosomal RNA, 253 nt
Filed under: uncultured bacterium
Lineage: Bacteria
Description: partial 16S ribosomal RNA
Rfam family: Bacterial small subunit ribosomal RNA
Source: RNAcentral